Non-coding RNA from Schizophyllum amplum, 100 nucleotides. NCBI's taxonomy places the organism in Eukaryota, Fungi, Basidiomycota, Agaricomycetes, Agaricales, Schizophyllaceae. The record is from the annotation of a GenBank genome assembly.
GCCCUGCUAGCUCAGUGGUAGAGCGUCGCACUCGUAUCAGCCAUUCAUUGACACCUGAUAUACCAUGCGAAGGUCAGUCGUUCAAGUCGGCUGUGGGGCA